UCGGGAAUUUUGGGCAAUGGGCGAAAGCCUGACCCAGCAACGCCGCGUGAAGGAUGAAGUAUUUCGGUAUGUAAACUUCGUAAGAAUAGGAAGAAUAAAUGACGGUACUAUUUGUAAGGUCCGGCUAACUACGUGCCAGCAGCCGCGGUAAUACGUAGGGACCAAGCGUUGUUCGGAUUUACUGGGCGUAAAGGGCGCGUAGGCGGCGUGGUAAGUCACUUGUGAAAUCUCCGAGCUUAACUCGGAACGGUCAAGUGAUACUGCUGUGCUAGAGUACAGAAGGGGCAAUCGGAAUUCUUGGUGUAGCGGUGAAAUGCGUAGAUAUCAAGAGGAACACCUGAGGUGAAGACGGGUUGCUGGGCUGAUACUGACGCUGAGGCGCGAAAGCUAGGGUAGCAAACGGGAUUAGAUACCCAUGUAGUCCCUGAGCGGGCUGGCAAGGCGCAU
RNAcentral lists this ribosomal RNA (447 nucleotides) under uncultured bacterium. Its description in RNAcentral is "bacterial SSU rRNA". It matches the Rfam family "Bacterial small subunit ribosomal RNA", at positions 355 to 825 of the family's 1533-position model. The record is from RNAcentral.